UUAAUUCGAAGCAACGCGCAGAACCUUACCAACCCUUGACAUGGGAAGUAUGGGCCUGAGAGAUCGGGUCCUUCAGUUCGGCUGGCUUCCACACAGGUGCUGCAUGGCUGUCGUCAGCUCGUGUCGUGAGAUGUUGGGUUAAGUCCCGCAACGAGCGCAACCCUCCUCUUCAGUUGCCAUCAUUCAGUUGGGCACUCUGGAGAUACUGCCGGUGACAAGCCGGAGGAAGGCGGGGAUGACGUCAAGUCUUCAUGGCCCUUACGGGUUGGGCUACACACGUGCUACAAUGGCGGUGACAAUGGGCAGCGAAAGGGCGACCUGGAGCUAAUCCCCAAAAGCCGUCUCAGUUCGGAUUGCACUCUGCAACUCGGGUGCAUGAAGUUGGAAUCGCUAGUAAUCGUGGAUCAGCACGCCACGGUGAAUACGUUCCCGGGCCUUGUACACACCGCC
This 450-nucleotide ribosomal RNA is filed under the name uncultured bacterium. Its description in RNAcentral is "bacterial SSU rRNA". It matches the Rfam family "Bacterial small subunit ribosomal RNA", at positions 946 to 1394 of the family's 1533-position model. The record is from RNAcentral.